RNAcentral lists this ribosomal RNA (253 nucleotides) under uncultured bacterium. Its description in RNAcentral is "partial 16S ribosomal RNA". It matches the Rfam family "Bacterial small subunit ribosomal RNA", at positions 524 to 776 of the family's 1533-position model. The record is from RNAcentral.
UACAGAGGGGGCAAGCGUUGUUCGGAAUUACUGGGCGUAAAGCGCACGUAGGCGGAUUGUUAAGUCGGGGGUGAAAUCCCAGGGCUCAACCCUGGAACUGCCUCCGAUACUGGCAUUCUUGAGUCCGAGAGAGGUGAGUGGAAUUCCGAGUGUAGAGGUGAAAUUCGUAGAUAUUCGGAAGAACACCAGUGGCGAAGGCGGCUCACUGGACUGGUAUUGACGCUGAGGUGCGAAAGCGUGGGGAGCAAACAGG